UACGGGGGGGGUAAGCGUUGUUCGGAAUUACUGGGCGUAAAGCGCACGUAGGUGGUUUGUUAAGCCAGCUGUGAAAUCCCCGGGCUCAACCUGGGCACUGCAGUUGGAACUGGCAAGCUAGAGUAGGGUAGAGGGGUGUGGAAUUCCUGGUGUAGCGGUGAAAUGCGCAGAUAUCAGGAGGAACACCAGCGGCGAAGGCGGCGCUCUGGGCUGGAACUGACGCUGAGGAGCGAAAGCAUGGGGAGCGAACAGG
RNAcentral lists this ribosomal RNA (253 nucleotides) under uncultured bacterium. RNAcentral describes it as "partial 16S ribosomal RNA". It matches the Rfam family "Bacterial small subunit ribosomal RNA", at positions 524 to 776 of the family's 1533-position model. The record is from RNAcentral.